Molecule: long non-coding RNA, 863 nt
Organism: Neofelis nebulosa (Clouded leopard)
Lineage: Eukaryota; Metazoa; Chordata; Mammalia; Carnivora; Felidae
Exons: 3
Source: RefSeq, a predicted model, not a curated record
CCCCCCACCCCCACCCCCACCACUCAUCUCUGUAGCCUGAGGUUUGGUACCUGGGAGAGGCUGGGACUGCUGUGAAGAAGAAAUGCAAGGCUGAACGUGGAGAACGAGGGGGUCUGUGGACCCGCCAGGCCCUGCUGGGAGAUUCUGUCUCACCACCUUCCCCGACCUGCAGCCCCGCCCAACCACUCCUCUGGGCUGCCUUCCUCGCCGUGGCCCCUGAGGGAUCAUCCUGGCAUCAUGCUCUUCGGUGCCCAUCUGACCCUCACCCCCAGGGAACAAGUCCCCAGCUAAGUUUUCCUAUUUCAGAAUGCCAGGACCUUCACAAUCUGGCCCAACCUACCUUUCCCAAGCCUCAACUCCGGCUAGUGUCCCCUAACAGCUUCCCUUCUGGCCACGUCCAAGCACUCAGUGCUGCUUCAACUGAACGAGACCCCACUUCCGGGCCACUGCAUGUGCUGUCCCCCGCCACACCGAACACCUCACCCCUACUGCUCACGUGGCAAGCUCUUAGCCUUUCUCCAAAACCCAAGGCCCCGGACUAAAGCUCAUGCUCUUUGGGUCUGCUGGUGUUUGCUGGAACCCCAAGCCAACUUCUCACUGCAAGCUCCCCCUUUCCAGAGUCAUCUGUGGAUAGAAGAGCUAACACAGGUCAUGUUCUUAGAACGGCACCUGGCCCGUAGUGAUCACUCAACACAUCUUUGCUGUUCUGAAGGUAGCUGACUGGCACUGCUUCAGUGGAACCCCCGCCCCCCGACUCCUCCUCCACCAGGGCUGAAGCAGGCAUGUCCUCCCUGGAGCUUCCGGAACCCCCAUCCCAGACAUCAAUCACUUGGUGCAGGAUAAUGACAAGAUAACAGCUGUCA